GAUGAACGCUGGCGGCGUGCUUAACACAUGCAAGUCGAACGAUGAAGCCCAGCUUGCUGGGUGGUUUAGUGGCGAACGGGUGAGUAACACGUGAGUAACCUGCCCUUAACUCUGGGAUAAGCCUGGGAAACUGGGUCUAAUACCGGAUAGGAGCGUCCACCGCAGGGUGGGUGUUGGAAAGAUUUAUCGGUUUUGGAUGGACGCGCGGCGUAUCAGCUUGUUGGUGGGGUAGUGGCUCACCAAGGCGACGACGGGUAGCCGGCAUGAGAGGGUGAGCGGCCACAAUGGGACUGCGGGACGGACCAGAGUCCUACGGGAGGCAACGGUGGGGAAUAUUGCACAAUGGGCGCAAGCCUGAUGCAGCGACGCCGCGUGAGGGAUGACGGCCUUCGGGUUGUAAACCUCUUUCAGUAGGGAAGAAGCGAAAGUGACGGUACCUGCAGAAGAAGCACCGGCUAACUACGUG
This 466-nucleotide ribosomal RNA is filed under the name uncultured bacterium. RNAcentral's name for it is "partial 16S ribosomal RNA". It matches the Rfam family "Bacterial small subunit ribosomal RNA", at positions 28 to 507 of the family's 1533-position model. The record is from RNAcentral.